UGUUGCAGUUAAAAGCUCGUAGUUGGAUCUAGGGACGCGCAUUUCAAGCGUCCGCACUAUCGGGUCAAACCGGUAGUGCGUGGCGUUGCGGGCUCGGUCCGUUGGUGCCUACUAAAGCAUCAGCGUGUCAACCGGCCCGCCCGUCCCCUCCUUCUGGAUUCCCGUUCCUGCUAUUGAGUUAGUGGGGACGUCACAGGGGGUCCAUCGUCGGUCAGCAAUGGCCGGCGGUGGAUCCCUGGGGCCCAGAUCGUUUACCGUGAAAAAAUUAGAGUGUUCAAAGCAGGCAGAUCCAAUUUUCUGCCACCGAAUACAUUAGCAUGGGAUAAUGGAAUAGGACCCUGUCCUCCUAUUUUCAGUUGGUUUUGGCACGCGAGGACCAGGGUAAUGAUUAAUAGGGAUAGUUGGGGGCAUUAAUAUUUAAUUGUCAGAGGUGAAAUUCUUGGAUUUAUGAAAGAUUAACUUCUGCGAAAGCAUCUGCCAAGGAUGUUUUCAUUAAUCAAGAACGAAAGUUAGGGGAUCGAAGACGAUCAGAUACCGUCGUAGUCUUAACCAUAAACGAUGCCGACCAGCGAUUAGGAGACGUUGAAUACAAAACACCACCAUCGGUGCGGUCGUCCUUGGCGCGUCGCGGCUUGCCGUGGCGUGCGAGGGCGGUUUAGCCUGAUGGCAUCGGUGAAUGACUCCCCUAGCAGCUUGUGAGAAAUCAUAAGUCUUUGGGUUCCGGGGGGGAGUAUGGUCGCAAGGCUGAAACUUAAAGGAAUUGACGGAAGGGCACACCAGGAGUGG
RNAcentral lists this ribosomal RNA (786 nucleotides) under Acanthamoeba sp. RNAcentral's name for it is "SSU rRNA". It matches the Rfam family "Eukaryotic small subunit ribosomal RNA", at positions 611 to 1179 of the family's 1831-position model. Lineage: Eukaryota; Discosea; Longamoebia; Acanthamoebidae. The record is from RNAcentral.